Molecule: ribosomal RNA, 252 nt
Filed under: uncultured bacterium
Lineage: Bacteria
Description: partial 16S ribosomal RNA
Rfam family: Bacterial small subunit ribosomal RNA
Source: RNAcentral
UACGUAGGUAGCAAGCGUUGUCCGGAUUUAUUGGGUUUAAAGGGUGCGUAGGCGGCCCUGUAAGUCAGUGCUGAAAUAUCCCGGCUUAACCGGGAGGGUGGCAUUGAUACUGCGGGGCUAGAGUACAGAUGAGGUAGGCGGAAUUGACGGUGUAGCGGUGAAAUGCUUAGAUAUCGUCAAGAACACCUAUAGCGAAGGCAGCUUACUAGGCUGUAACUGACGCUGAGGCACGAAAGUGUGGGAUCAAACAGG